UACGUAGGGUGCGAGCGUUAAUCGGAAUUACUGGGCGUAAAGCGUGCGCAGGCGGCUAUUUAAGCUUGCUGUGAAAGCCCCGGGCUUAACCUGGGAACUGCAGUGAGGACUGGAUGGCUGGAGUGUGGCAGAGGGGGGUGGAAUUCCACGUGUAGCAGUGAAAUGCGUAGAGAUGUGGAGGAACACCGAUGGCGAAGGCAGCCCCCUGGGCUAACACUGACGCUCAGGCACGAAAGCCAGGGGAGCAAACGGG
RNAcentral lists this ribosomal RNA (253 nucleotides) under uncultured bacterium. RNAcentral describes it as "partial 16S ribosomal RNA". It matches the Rfam family "Bacterial small subunit ribosomal RNA", at positions 524 to 776 of the family's 1533-position model. The record is from RNAcentral.